Canis lupus familiaris (dog) is the source of this 3530-nucleotide long non-coding RNA. RefSeq lists it as uncharacterized. The transcript has 4 exons. The record is from RefSeq and is a predicted model, not a curated record. NCBI's taxonomy places the organism in Eukaryota, Metazoa, Chordata, Mammalia, Carnivora, Canidae.
GCCUCUCUCUCUCUGUCUGUCUCUCAUGAGUAAAUAAAUAAAAUCUUACAAAAAAGAUAUAUAUCUAAAGCCAAGUGAAGGGAUUUUAAAGGUGAAUUCCUCUUAUUAUCCCUCAGAAAACUAUCUUAAAAUACUUUCUCCAUCCAUCUCACACUACCUCAAACAUUACUGUUCAGCAGCUACUUCAGCCCCCUGUUAUACUUUCUCAAAACUUGCUAGUAUUCAGUUUCCACACUCCACACUGGCUCUUCCUCUUCUUUUCACCUCUUUCUAUUCUUUUGGUUUAUUUUCUCUCACUAGAGUGGCUACUCAUUAGCCACAACACACCAAAGGCUAAGGAAGCAUAUACUGAAACCUCCUUGGAAAGGAGGCCUCCUUGGAAGGAAGGCUUUGGAAAUACUUACAUAAUCAGAAUAUACUGGGGUCCCAUGUGGCCCAGAGUCUGUGUCAUAUCACUGUCAAAGAAACAGCAGUCUGACUCUAGAAGCCAAGAUAAAUAGUGUUGAUCUUUCAGUGUUUUUGAAAGAGCAUAGUGCAGAGGUUUCAUACAGCACGUUAUGUAGAAAGUUCCCUCAAAAAUAUUUCUACAUCUCCCUCGCUCCCUCAAGUAUCCCAUUUGAGGCAAAGGUUAGAAAUCCCCAAGUACAGGAGUUCAUCAGAUCACCGCUUGAGAGAAGGUUGAGAGUGGGAGGGUGGGUUGUGAUCUGCCUGAUAAAAGGUUAAUUCUUUCAUUUAUUCAACUGACAAAUGUUCAUGAAGUCCCAGCUGGGGACUGGACACUGUGAUAGGGACUAGGGACACUAUAAUAAAUACGACAUUUGUAGUCUGCUACGGAAGAAGACACUGAACAUAAAAAUUGUGAUGAGUGUUAUAAUAAUAUCUUACAUAUAUUGAAUGCUAAUUUUGUGCAGGUAUUAUGCUAAUGGUUCUAUGUUUACUCAGUUUAGUUGUCUAAUAUUUUCAAGAAACCAAUGUGAUAAAUACUGUUAUUACCUCCAUUCUACAAGUAGAGAAACUGUGUAUUAUGUAAUAACUUACCCAAGGUCACACAUUUAAUAAAUGUUGGAGCUAGGAUUUGAAACCAAGUUUACCUGAUUUCUGAUCUGAAGUUCUUAGCCAAUAUUAAAGUGCUGUUACUUUCUAGCAGGGAGGGAGGAGAAAAAUGGUGGCAUCAUUGAAACUGAAAGACUCUGCCUUCACCAUUCAGAAGUUGGGCUGUCAGUCAACAGCUGACCUCAGGGAAUCAAGAAAACUGACUUUGCAGAGGAAGACCCUUUGGAUCUGGGUCCCAGAGCACUCAGCUGAAGAUCUGCAGAGUCUGUGAAAUAGACAGGUGGCUUGGCCCAUAAUUUGAGAAGCAAGUCAUGCUGAUGGGUAAAUACCACACUUUAUGGUGUCCGUCAUUUAAGGGAUAACCCAACUUGUGGAAUUCCUAAACAGGAUGAGACCAAUGGAAAAUGGAAUUGGCCACAUAUCCUGGUUUUGAGGCCAGUGCUUAGAUGAUCAAUUUGAGAUGUUUCUUCUUUUCUAUGGUAAGCCCUUUUGUACUACAUAUUUUCUUCUCAGCACUGCUUUAGCUGUGUCUCACAAACUUUGAUGUGUUUUCAUUCAAUUAAGUGUAAUUUUAAAAUUUCCUUUGAGACUUUGACACACAGAUUAUUAGAAGUGUAGGUUUAGUGUCCAAGUGUUAGGAGAUAUUUAUGCUGCUGAUUUCUAGUUUGAUUCCAUUGUGGCUGCAGAGAGUAUAUUUUGUAUGAUUUCAAUUACUUUGCUUGUUGAGGCCAAUAGAAAUAGUCACUAUCCCUAUGCACACUUAAAAAGAAUGCUGUUGUUGUAUAGAGUGUUCUAUAAAUAUCAAUUUGAUUCUGCUAAUUAAUAUCAUUGCUGAUUUUCUGUCUAGUUUUCUAUUUAUUUUUGAGAGGACUGUUAAAGUCUUCAACCAUAAUGGUGGAUUUGUCUAUUUCUCUUUCCAGUUUUUAAAUUUUUUCUUUAAAUGUGUUUUAGCUUUGUUGUUUGGAGCAUACACAGUAGGAUUGCUAUUCUUGACAAAUUGACCCUUUUAUCAGUAUGUAAUCCCCAUGCUGUCUCUGGUAACUUUCGCUUUUUAAGUUUUUGUUUUUUAGUAAUCUCUAUAUGCAAUGUGGGGCUUGAACUCCUAACUCAAGAUCAGGAGUUACAUGCUCUUCUGACUGAACCUUCCAGGCACCCCUCUGAACCUACUUUCCAUAACGAAGAGUGAUAAUACUGAAUACUUGAAUUUCUAAUCAGCCUGUACCUUGGACUGAGCUUGUGAUUCAUUCCUGGCCAAAAGAAGCUGAGAGAAAAUAUUCUGGAGACUAAUAAAAAGAUAGAGAUACAUGAAGAGAUCUUUUCUGUGUUGGACAUGUGACAAUUAGAUGCUUGAAUGUUUUAUGGCUCUCAUGUUACCUUGACAGAAAGACCAAAAGAAUUGCAGACAAGGUAAUUAAAAGUCCUAGCAUUCUUGAGAUAUAAAUUAAUAGUAGUAUCAAUCUUGAAGAAUUGCUUGGGACCAACAUUAUUAACAUAGUAGAAUGAGUUCUCUACUGUCUUCCUCCAAAAGAACUCCUAUUCAGACAGUCACCCACAGAUGAGAGUGUGUUUGUGGAAGUCUAGGAGUUCAGUUGAGAAGAUCUAGCACAAUGUUAGAGGGGGCAAAAAAGGCAAGAUUAGACACCUUAAAGAGAGUAAGAGUAACACUUUCACUUUACCUGUAUCAUCCCUCACCCAAGGCAGCACAGCUCAGUCACAAAAGAGUUCUUUUUGGCCAUGAUUUCUCUCAUGAGGUAAAAUGAGAGCAUGGGAGUAAGCACCCAGCUUCCCAUUUGUGCAGAGUGCCACUCUAGAGCUGUUGGAGAUGUCGCACCUGGAGAUCUCUCCAAUUGGUCCACAGGUACCCUCAAUGCUAUGUGUGCCUCAUGCACAUCUCCCCCACACCCCAUGGAUAUCUUCCAGUAUGCUCCCCUAGGGCAGCAAAAGAGAUCCUUUACAGAAAAAAACAGUCCUAAAAUUUAUAUGGAACCACAAAAGGCCCUGAAUAGCUAAAGAAACUGAGAAGAAACAAAACCAGAGACAUCAUACUUCCUGAUUUCAAGCUAUAAUAUAAAGCCAUAGGAAUCAAUACAGCAUAGUACUGGCAUAAAAAUAGAAGCAUAGACCAAUAAAAUAGAAUCAAAAGCCCAGAUAAGAACCCAUGAAUAUAGUCAACUAAUGUUUUACAAGGGAUCCAAGAAGACUCAAUGGGAAAUGAUAGCUCUUUAAUAAAUAAUAAUGGGAAAACUGGGUAUCACAUGCAAAAGGAUGAAAUUGGAACCCUAUCUUAUACUACUCACAAAAGCUAACUUGAAGUGGAUUAAAGUCUUAAAUAUAAGACCUGAAACCAUGAAUACUCACAAGUAUUCACACCCGAAUACUCCAAGAAGACACAUAAGAAAAAAGCUUCUUGAUAUUGGUCUUGGCAACAAUUUUUUGGAUAUGACAACAAAAGCACAAAACAACCACAAAACCAAAAU